This 544-nucleotide ribosomal RNA is filed under the name uncultured Ascomycota. RNAcentral describes it as "SSU rRNA". It matches the Rfam family "Eukaryotic small subunit ribosomal RNA", at positions 548 to 1098 of the family's 1831-position model. Lineage: Eukaryota; Fungi; Ascomycota. The record is from RNAcentral.
UUGGAGGGCAAGUCUGGUGCCAGCAGCCGCGGUAAUUCCAGCUCCAAUAGCGUAUAUUAAAGUUGUUGUGGUUGAAAAGCUCGUAGUUGAACCUUGGGCCUGGCUGGCCGGUCCGCCUCACCGCGUGCACUGGUCCGGCCGGGCCUUUCCCUCUGUGGAACCCCAUGCCCUUCACUGGGCGUGGCGGGGAAACAGGACUUUUACUUUGAAAAAAUUAGAGUGCUCCAGGCAGGCCUAUGCUCGAAUACAUUAGCAUGGAAUAAUAAAAUAGGACGUGCGGUUCUAUUUUGUUGGUUUCUAGGACCGCCGUAAUGAUUAAUAGGGACAGUCGGGGGCAUCAGUAUUCAACUGUCAGAGGUGAAAUUCUUGGAUUUAUUGAAGACUAACUACUGCGAAAGCAUUUGCCAAGGAUGUUUUCAUUAAUCAGGAACGAAAGUUAGGGGAUCGAAGACGAUCAGAUACCGUCGUAGUCUUAACCGUAAACGAUGCCGACUAGGGAUCGGACGGUGUUAUUACUUGACCCGUUCGGCGCCUUACGGGAAAC